Molecule: long non-coding RNA, 336 nt
Filed under: Lupinus angustifolius (narrow-leaved blue lupine)
Lineage: Eukaryota; Viridiplantae; Streptophyta; Magnoliopsida; Fabales; Fabaceae
Description: long non-coding RNA (LANG_LNC003702)
Source: RNAcentral
UUUAGUGGGAGUUUAAUGGCUGAUUUGUUCCUUGCAUGGCUGAGUUUGAAUGUGGACGGAUUCCUCAAAGAUCUCGAAUAAGGAAAACCUUUAAUGGGUGAAUUAACUCUUGAUUUUCUAUGCAUUGGUCGUGGGAUUACUUAAAUGAAAUGAUGGUAUUGUAUCUUUGCAAAUCUGAUUUGAAAUGUUGGAGAUUCACACGCCUACUUGGAUUAGCCUUGAUGUUUUGCCUUUCUUGAAUGAGCCUUGUCUUGAAUGCCUUGAAUUAUAUGUCCAACACAUGUUUUAUUCAAAUAAGGAAGGUAUUCAUUCCUUUAAUUCUCUUCCAAUCUGAAU